AUGUCAAGACCUGGUAAGGUUCUUCGCGUUGCUUCGAAUUAAACCACAUGCUCCACUGCUUGUGCGGGCCCCCGUCAAUGGCUUUGAUUUUCAACCUUGCGGUCGUACUCCCCAGGCGGAGUGCUUAAUGUGUUAACUUCGGCACUAAGGGCAUCGAAACCCCUAACACCUAGCACUCAUCGUUUACGGCGUGGACUACCAGGGUAUCUAAUCCUGUUUGCUCCCCACGCUUUCGCGCCUCAGCGUCAGUUAUAGGCCAGAAAGUCGCCUUCGCCACUGGUGUUCCUCCACAUAUCUACGCAUUUCACCGCUACACGUGGAAUUCCACUUUCCUCUCCUACACUCAAGUCCCCCAGUUUCCAAUGACCCUCCACGGUUGAGCCGUGGGCUUUCACAUCAGACUUAAGAGACCGCCUGCGCGCGCUUUACGCCCAAUAAUUCCGGACAACGCUUGCCCCCUACGUAUUACCGCGGCUGCAGGCACGUAGUUAGC
This 493-nucleotide ribosomal RNA is filed under the name Bacillus sp. Nj-93. Its description in RNAcentral is "partial 16S ribosomal RNA". Lineage: Bacteria; Bacillati; Bacillota; Bacilli; Caryophanales; Bacillaceae. The record is from RNAcentral.